ACGGUAUCCCUAGAAUAAGCGACGGCAAACUACGUGCCAGCAGCCGCGGUAACACGUAGGUCGCGAGCGUUAUCCGGAUUUACUGGGCGUAAAGCGCUUGUAGGCGGUUCUGUAAGUCGGGCGUGAAAUCUCCGGGCUUAACCCGGAGUGGCCGUUCGAUACUGCAGGGCUUGAGGAUGCUAGAGGGUGGUGGAAUUCCAGGUGUAGUGGUGAAAUGCGUAGAUAUCUGGAGGAACAUCCGUGGCGAAGGCGGCCACCUGGGGCAUUCCUGACGCUGAGAAGCGACAGCUAGGGGAUCAAACGGGAUUAGAAACCCCGGUAGUCCUAGCCGUAAACGAUGGACGCUAGGUGUUGGCAGAUCUAACCCUGUCUGCGCCGAAGCAAACGCGUUAAGCGUCCCGCCUGGGAACUACGGUCGCAAGAUUAAAACUCAAAGGAAUUGACGGGGACCCGCACAAGCAGCGGAGCGUGUGGUUUAAUUCGAUGCUACACGAAGAACCUUACCCAGGUUUGACAUACUAGUGGUAGUGAACUGAAAGGGGAACGACCCGCAAGGG
Molecule: ribosomal RNA, 557 nt
Filed under: uncultured bacterium
Lineage: Bacteria
Description: bacterial SSU rRNA
Rfam family: Bacterial small subunit ribosomal RNA
Source: RNAcentral